This is a long non-coding RNA of Plectropomus leopardus (leopard coralgrouper), 738 nucleotides long. RefSeq lists it as uncharacterized. The record is from RefSeq and is a predicted model, not a curated record. NCBI's taxonomy places the organism in Eukaryota, Metazoa, Chordata, Actinopteri, Perciformes, Serranidae.
ACCUGUUCCUUCUUGUCAAGCCACAACUGAACAGCUUCAUAAGAACUGCGGAAAAAGAAAAACUGGAACUUUGAAGCUUCUCUUUACCAAACAGACAGAGAAAUUAUUAAAAUGGCUAGCCCUGAUCUCUCUGCCACAAUUGAUUACUGCGCACUUGAGCUGCGUCAGGUUGGAGAUGGACUCUACUGGAGAUACAAACUGCUGGAAAUACUGAUAAAUAACUACAAGACUGUUUCUAAAAUCAAGUGACAUCGAAAUGAAAAGGAAAGAGGAAAUGGAUUUAAUUUGAAUGGCGUUGGGAGCCGAAGCAGAGGAGUCUUGGACUCAUCACUGAGGGUAAAAUGGUGACUCUCAAGUGGGAUGUCAGCUCGUAGAAACACCCUGAUGGAGACGCUGGAUGUGGACUGUCAGUGGACUGUUGUCGUAUUCAAGCCUGAAGCUCUGUAGAGGAAGCCAAAUGUGUGGGGAUGCUGUUUAUCCACCUGUUCAGACCCCUGGGUGACUGGAACCAAAGUGGAACAUCUGAAUUGAAGACAUCUGCUGAAAAAGGCUGAUUAUCUAUACAUACUGCUGUAUAUAUGGACACUUUUCCAUGUUACGCUCUGUCAGUCUGUCACAUUUAUGUCCACUGAAGGACUCAGUUAGCUACUUAUUGACUCAAAAAUCUUAAAAAUGUCUUUCUAAUGGGAAGUAUGUCAUGAGUUAAUAAUAUAAUAAAAGAUGCAUAUUCAAGUCUAA